GCCUGGCUAGCUCAGCUGGUAGGGUAUGAGACACUUCAUCUCAGGGUUGGGGGUUGGUGUCCCACGUUGGGUA
RNAcentral lists this transfer RNA (73 nucleotides) under Scleropages formosus (Asian bonytongue). RNAcentral's name for it is "tRNA-Lys". Lineage: Eukaryota; Metazoa; Chordata; Actinopteri; Osteoglossiformes; Osteoglossidae. The record is from RNAcentral.